CUGUACAUCUAAUUUUGAUAUUCUUUUCUUAUUUACGAUCAGCUAUUUUCUAUCACUAUUUCUUCUUUCUUCUCCAUAAUGGUGAAGACUGAGCCGCGACAAAAGCAACAAAAUGAUGGUGAAGACGGAACAGAGGAGGAGGCAAUAAAAUAACGGUGAAGAUGUAAUGUCGUCAGCGGCAGCAGCUAAACUAUGGUGAGGCAGAACGGUAACGACAACGACUGAGAAGGCAGAACAACGAUUUUUCUCUCUAUUCCAUAAUUUGUUUUGUCUCUUUGUGUUCAAUUUGGAAUUUAUGUAGUCAAUCCUUCUAAUUAUUUUGCUUGUGAACAAACUAGGGUUUAUGAACAAACUUGUUAAAUUAAUUGAUAACUAGUGAUGAUUUUAAUUGAUAACAAUUGUUUGUUUGUAAUGUUCAUUAGUUGAUUAGUUGAUUAGAAUCAAUUAGAUACAUAGGCUGCUUUAUUGUAUCUAAUUAACUUUUAUUUUGUUUAUUUGUGGUUUGAUGUUCGAUCAAUAGGAAUUAUCUUAUCAUGUUUAAAUUGAAUUUACAUUUUGAGGUUAGUUGUUGCCACUUACGUUUAUUUCUUAUGGAAUAUUUGGUUAUUUAGUGGGAAAUGGAUGCUUAUUUUUCUGAAUUGAUGUUUUCUUUUACUGAUUUAUGGAAAAACAUAAAAUAGAUAUGAAAUUAACGGGGUAAUCACAAUUAUGGGUUGUGAUAACUAAUGUUGAUUUUGUAUUUUUUUAAGAAAUCUUAUGUUAUGUUUGUCUAACAAAUUGCUUCUGAAGGGUUCAAACACCGUGUGUUUGAGAUCUCGCUAGCUGACCUUCAAGGUUAUGAGGAUCAAGCUUAGAAAAAAGAUCAGGCUGAGAGUUGAAGAUGUUCAAGGGAAGAAUGUCUUGAUUAAUUUCUGGUUACAAUAGAGCAGCUAAAAGUGCUACUGAAUUUCAAUUGCGUGUGGAGAUUAAACACCUGUUAAAAGAGGCCAGCUUCUACUCAUAGUCAUUAUGGUUUGCUCAGGCAGCAAAAUCUAGGAGGUUGGCAGCUGCAAAGAAGAGGGAACUUGCAAAUUAUAAUGAUAUUAUGUGUGAUCUGCAUACAAGAGUCUUAAUUUUAAAUAGACAUACUAGGAAGGAAUAGCCAACACAUGCAGAACCCACACCCUUUUAAACAUUUAGCUCCAACCUAUGCAGCAAAUGAAUUCGAUUGUUGUUUGCUCUUUUUUAUUGUUUUUACUGGAUUAGUAUAUGUAGAGCAGGUCUGCUCAAAACUCUAACAAAUGCUCUUUUGGUUUUUCAAUAUUCUGUUAAUUUUCAUGA
This is a long non-coding RNA of Mercurialis annua (annual mercury), 1320 nucleotides long. RefSeq lists it as uncharacterized. The record is from RefSeq and is a predicted model, not a curated record. Lineage: Eukaryota; Viridiplantae; Streptophyta; Magnoliopsida; Malpighiales; Euphorbiaceae. The transcript has 3 exons.